This is an RNA transcript of Magallana angulata, 1783 nucleotides long. RefSeq lists it as uncharacterized. The record is from RefSeq and is a predicted model, not a curated record. The transcript has 12 exons. NCBI's taxonomy places the organism in Eukaryota, Metazoa, Mollusca, Bivalvia, Ostreida, Ostreidae.
UUUUUACUCUCUCUCUCUCUCUCUCUCUCUCUCUCUCUCUCUCUCUCUCUCUGUGUCACUCCUCUCUCUUUUCGCGCGCGAGCCUGCAUCUUUUAGAUGUUGCCGCCCCCCAAAAAAAAACAGGAUCAGUACAAAUAUGGCGUUGUUUCGAUCAGCAUGGCUGCUCAUCUUUGUUGUGCAUGGCGUAUAUUUACAAUGUUCUCCCGCAACAAUUUGUUGCGAGGAAGACUUCGUUUCGUGUAUGGGGGCAUGUGAGUGUAUUUUCUUUACAGUGGGGAUGACCGGGGGUGUCGAUACACUCCACAUCCGAUUUGGCGAAGGGGUGCGCCGGGUUGAAUUCAGUUUCAAGAAAAUAACUCUGACGGACAUCGGCGAUGUCCACCCUGCUAGAGUCGAUUUGUCCGAGCCAGCUCAAAGUACCACACCUGACCAGGGAGAUGAGACUACACCCCCGUCCUCCAGUCCCCGUCGCACUACGCAUGAGCAGGGAGAUAAGACUACACCCCCGUCCUCCAGUCCCCGUCGCACUACGCAUGAUCACGCUGAGACUUCCCGGGUGUCCUGGACAUCAUCAUCAACCUCCGUAGUAGACGGUACCUCCGUUCAUGAGUCAAGCACAGGAGAGAUCACGUUGACUCCUACGGCAGUUUUGAUUAUUUCUAAUAACAUCCGAGACUCCCACAGAUUACAUCGGCGAAGAAACAAUUUAUAUAGACUCCGGGUCUAAUGCUACACCUUCUAUAGGAUCACCAUCGUCUGAGUCUUUUUCAUCAUCAUCUUCAAGUCACCUGUCGACUUCAUUUUCGACAAUAACAAGAUCUCCUUCCAGUGUCUCAUCGCGAUCUACUUCGCCGGAAAUAACAUCUCCUCUUAAGAGUCCUUAUUUUUCGCAAACGGACGAUGAUGAAUUUAGUACUAUAGAUCUCGGACCUACCAACAUCACGAUUUAUCAUAUGCAAAACGAGAAAAAGCGACUGACCACAGAGCUUGCAUCAAAACAAGGUGCCAAAGAAACCUUAGGAAAACAAAUAGGGGACCUUAACAAACAAAUGGAUGCUCUGAAUAGGGAGAUAGAACUUUUGGCGAACAAUUUAGAAGUCUUGGAAGGAGACAUCUAUGUAAAAUGUUUAGAACUAAAUGUUCAAACUUGUUAAAAAACAAAAUAAAAUGUGACUUACUUUUCAAUCGUUUAUCCAAUGAAUCUUGCCUGCUUGAUCUGGUCUCUUUUUUUCUUCUCUUUUAUACAGUGAGGGAUAAUUUAUGUAACUAAUUACUGACAAAUACAUUCAUUUCCGUGACUUUUUUUCAACCUUUUUUGUAAAUUUAACGAGAUUCUUAGGUUAACGACAUAUUCCUAUAUCUAUCAUUUGAUAUGUAUUUGAAAUCGUGAGUUUUUUUCAUACGUUUUAUUACUUAUAAAUCUUCUAUGACAUUUCAUUUAAAUGUUUUUAAAAAGAUUGAUGUUAUAUCUAUUUCUGUAAAGUCAUUAUUUUUUUUUAUAAUACAUUCUUUGUAUAUAACCUCUUUUUCUGUAUGUAUUUCGUGAGUUCUUGCUUCAAAUUUAUCAAUUAUAAAUCUUUUUCGACAUUUCAUUUAAAUGUUUUGAACGAGAUUUAUGUUCUGUCUAUUUCCUGUAUAGUCAUUCUUUUUUUUCUGGGGGGAUUUUUUUUUUUUUUGGUGCAUUUCUUAUGUGUGACUUUUUUAUGCAUUUUUCCUUGUAAUUUGAUUUUCUGUACAAAGAUUACAAUUUACUGAAUAAAACUAUGAAACUCAACAUUUUACU